RNAcentral lists this ribosomal RNA (476 nucleotides) under uncultured organism. Its description in RNAcentral is "partial 16S ribosomal RNA". It matches the Rfam family "Bacterial small subunit ribosomal RNA", at positions 334 to 801 of the family's 1533-position model. The record is from RNAcentral.
CACUCCUACGGGAGGCAGCAGUGGGGAAUUUUGGACAAUGGGCGAAAGCCUGAUCCAGCAAUGCCGCGUGUGUGAAGAAGGCCUUCGGGUUGUAAAGCACUUUUGUCCGGAAAGAAAUCCUUGGCUCUAAUACAGUCGGGGGAUGACGGUACCGGAAGAAUAAGCACCGGCUAACUACGUGCCAGCAGCCGCGGUAAUACGUAGGGUGCGAGCGUUAAUCGGAAUUACUGGGCGUAAAGCGUGCGCAGGCGGUUUGCUAAGACCGAUGUGAAAUCCCGGGGCUCAACCUGGGAACUGCAUUGGUGACUGGCAGGCUAGAGUAUGGCAGAGGGGGGUAGAAUUCCACGUGUAGCAGUGAAAUGCGUAGAGAUGUGGAGGAAUACCGAUGGCGAAGGCAGCCCCCUGGGCCAAUACUGACGCUCAUGCACGAAAGCGUGGGGAGCAAACAGGAUUAGAAACCCCGGUAGUCCCAUGAU